Molecule: ribosomal RNA, 433 nt
Filed under: uncultured bacterium
Lineage: Bacteria
Description: partial 16S ribosomal RNA
Rfam family: Bacterial small subunit ribosomal RNA
Source: RNAcentral
AACGAACGCUGGCGGCAUGCCUAACACAUGCAAGUCGAACGAGACCUUCGGGUCUAGUGGCGCACGGGUGCGUAACGCGUGGGAACCUGCCCUUAGGUUCGGAAUAACUCCCCGAAAGGGGUGCUAAUACCGGAUAAUGUCUUCGGACCAAAGAUUUAUCGCCUUUGGAUGGGCCCGCGUUGGAUUAGCUAGUUGGUAGGGUAAAAGCCUACCAAGGCGACGAUCCAUAGCUGGUCUGAGAGGAUGAUCAGCCACACUGGGACUGAGAUACGGCCCAGACUCCUACGGGAGGCAGCAGUGGGGAAUAUUGGACAAUGGGCGAAAGCCUGAUCCAGCAACGCCGCGUGAGUGAUGAAGGCCUUAGGGUUGUAAAGCUCUUUUACCCGGGAUGAUAAUGACAGUACCGGGAGAAUAAGCUCCGGCUAACUCCGUG